CCCUGUUUCCAGCCAAAAGCUUCCUGUAAUCUAUGAUAAUGUUCCUGAUACAGCAGAGGGUCUGCUAUUAAAUUGUGAAGAAUCAUACGGAUGUGCCACUCAUAGACAAGACCCUUCCCCAGCAUAUGACGAUGUGUUAAAUUCUGCAAAG
Molecule: long non-coding RNA, 151 nt
Organism: Pelobates fuscus (common spadefoot toad)
Lineage: Eukaryota; Metazoa; Chordata; Amphibia; Anura; Pelobatidae
Exons: 3
Source: RefSeq, a predicted model, not a curated record